Molecule: unclassified non-coding RNA, 291 nt
Filed under: uncultured fungus
Lineage: Eukaryota; Fungi
Description: sequence contains 5.8S rRNA gene, ITS2, 28S rRNA gene
Rfam family: 5.8S ribosomal RNA (bases 1-52)
Source: RNAcentral
AACGCACCUUGCGCCCUUUGGUAUUCCGAAGGGCAUGCCUGUUCGAGUGUCUUGAAUUCAUCGUGGCCCGAGGUUUUCGAACCUGCGGACCCGCGGAAGUGGGGGCCUGCCGCUGUGAAGCGGCUCCCCUCAAAUGCAUCGGUGGGGUCUCCGGACAUCCCGGGCGUUGUAUCUACCCUCGUCCUGACAGUGAUGCCGACCAAGCCCCCGCCUCGACCGUCCGCGCGAGCGGCGGUCAGACAUGCUUUGAAAUCUGACCUCGAAUCAGGUAGGACUACCCGCUGAACUUAA